This 1201-nucleotide long non-coding RNA is filed under the name Helianthus annuus (common sunflower). Lineage: Eukaryota; Viridiplantae; Streptophyta; Magnoliopsida; Asterales; Asteraceae. The record is from RNAcentral.
CCCUCAUCGCCACCACCCACAACCACAAAUCAUACACAAACCUCCUGUGUGUAACAUGUGUUUGGUUGCUAUUUAGGGAUCUGACGACUUGGUUAAGGCGGUAGAAGUCCAUUAAGGAUUUAAGAUAGUACCUUUGAAUAUCCUACUGUGAAUCUCUUAUACGAAGAUAUGGAAGAUUCUACGAGGAUUUGGAUCACACAAAACAUAAAAGGGAACACAUAAGCACAUAAUCAAAUAAUUGUUUAAUUUGACCUUAAAUUUAUUAUCUUUGGACACAGAUAUUUAAAGCACACCAGGAAUCCAAUCCGUGGAUUUCAUUUGGCACUUUAAUCAUUUUCAAGAAUCUAUCUAUGAAGAUAGGAAAAUCUUAAUAGGAAUUCGGCUUUGUCCUUAUUGAAUCGUAAUUUAUGUAUUGAAUCAUACAAAGAAUUCAAUUAAGGGCUCCGAUGAAUGAUACCCAUCCACAAGGAUCUAAUUAUGAGGAUAGAAAGAUCCUACAUGGAUUUUGGAGUUUGUGUAACGAGAGGUGUUCCGACACCUUGCACUAGGCGUGCUUAAGUCGAUACACAAGGUAGAAAGUUCAUGAGGUUGAGGCGCUAGAUACGCCAAGGCGACAUAUGAAGCAGAAUUUGAAGGUUGAGCCGCAGCAGGAUUUGUAACAACUCUGCUUUGGAUUGCAAAGCGGCACAUGUUAACCAAAUGUCCCCAUCGUCCACCGUGGGUACAUUUGAAACAGGGUAUUUGAUUCGGAUGAUGACGUUGGCAUUGAUUGCACCGAGGAGAAGUUCCCUUAUACGGCUUCAUCCCUGAGGCGAAUCAUGGUGAUAGCUAAAUCAACGGUCCUCUAGAGUAUGACGCCUAUUCGCUGGGUAAUUGCAGCACCUGGUUCGGGCAUUUGAGUGUUGUUGCGAUGAAGAGGCAUCUUGAAGAUAAUGGAAGGCAUAGGAGGAAACAAGCGAAAGAUAAUCAAAAGAGAAAGACAACACAUGAAGAUUGUGACCAUUUGUUUGUUACCAAAGGCAAACAAAUGAGAUGGUGACUAAUCAAAGUAAGAGUGACUGGUCCGAUACUGCGGAUUUGUACGGACACUCUAGCCUUAGACAGAAGACCCGGGGUACGGGCACCCACCCUUCCAGUUUGCACGUGUUCACAUUAAUGAGACCCAUACUUUGACGAGAUCUUGAAAACUUAGAAGGUUCAA